UCUAAACCACCAGGGCUUUUAGCUGGCUUAAGUCAGUCUAUCUACUCUCAGUCCUGCUGAGUUUAAAGUAUUCCCCCCUUCCAGCUCCACCAAGACAGAACUUCACGAAUCUUCUCCACGUAUCACCCUCAAUUGAGGAUUAGUUUAUGAUGAGCAAGCAGGCUGGUCUCUGGCCUCUCAGACUUCCAAGAGUGAGCGUUUGUGUCUUUCUGCAGAGGUCAGGAAGCACCGCAAAUCAACGCACCUGCCUGAGACCGGUCCUGAAACACGUGGUUUAUAUCGAAUUCCAUUUGGACUUUUAAGAGCCGAAAGAACUCUUGAGAUAAGAAAAACAUCUAUGAAAAAUAUAAUAAAACGAACUCAAAAAUAAAUUCUAACUAGCGUGUGAUGGAAAAAGUCGGUUGGGCAAAAACCAGAAGGCACGUUGGGUCACAGGACUAGGACAGGAACCACAGUCGAGGGACUCGUACACCCGGAUUAGCAGUCGAUGGUCAGGUGGUACAGACGCUGCAGGCAAGGAGAAAGACGACUCCUGAUUACGUCUUGAAGAACAACGAAAAGUGGAUUUGAUACUCGUGGACUGUUUGUGGUCACUCCUACGCUUCCUGAGCCCAGAGUCGGAAUAGAGCGCAUACACAGGAGGGGGGUCCCACAUUGCAGGAACAUGGAGGCAGCAUGUCAAGAAUGUCAGAGAAAUGCAAUCUGGAGCUUUUCAGACCUCUGACUUGGAGCGCCACUGAUUCAUCAGCCUGCGGGUCCAGGAAGUAACUCUCCAGCAAUUGUGAAUUAUUACUAAAUCUACUUGAUGGUCCUCAUCAUGUAUUACCUGUGUACUGGAUGAUUUUGGCCGCCUUAAAAAAAAAAUAAGUUGUCAUGGAAAUCACUGAGCUAGCUAGGCCAUCGUCAGUCUCUGCCAGCCAUGUGUCAAAAUUCUAAAAAAAAAAAAUACAAAAUACAUUUUUUAAAUGUCCUUUUCCUAUUUGUAUCGUAUAGAUUGUACAGAAAUAAAGAGCCUGCAAGUGGAAAAGAACUCUCAUGUGUUUUGCACCGCCAGUCAGUGACCAAUACAUGCUAGUGGCUAUAGGGGACUAAACUUUGCUUUCUGAUGC
Lepisosteus oculatus (spotted gar) is the source of this 1109-nucleotide non-coding RNA. The record is from RefSeq and is a predicted model, not a curated record. Lineage: Eukaryota; Metazoa; Chordata; Actinopteri; Semionotiformes; Lepisosteidae.